CCAUAAUAUCCUCACCAUCCAGACCCCACGGCCGUUCAUAGAGACUUUGAAGGCAGCAUAUUUUGGAAAUGUUUGCGUGAAAUGGAUUCAUGUGAUCGAGCUGGAAGCAGUGCAGGCGCAUGGAACAGGCGCCAUCUGCCAACAAAGUAAAGCUUGUGUUCCUGAAAUGUCUUUUUUCCAUUUGCG
This is a long non-coding RNA of Cottoperca gobio, 186 nucleotides long. RefSeq lists it as uncharacterized. The record is from RefSeq and is a predicted model, not a curated record. The transcript has 3 exons. Lineage: Eukaryota; Metazoa; Chordata; Actinopteri; Perciformes; Bovichtidae.